GGCGACGUAGCCAAGAGGGAAGGCAGGAGUCUGCAAAACUCUUAUUCACCGGUUCGAUUCCGGUCGUCGCCUCCG
Molecule: transfer RNA, 75 nt
Filed under: Candidatus Omnitrophica bacterium CG_4_9_14_0_2_um_filter_42_8
Lineage: Bacteria; Pseudomonadati; Candidatus Omnitrophota
Also listed under: 1 other name
Description: tRNA-Cys
Rfam family: tRNA
About the family: Transfer RNA (tRNA) molecules are approximately 80 nucleotides in length. Their secondary structure includes four short double-helical elements and three loops (D, anti-codon, and T loops).
Source: RNAcentral